This 73-nucleotide transfer RNA is filed under the name Thermoleophilaceae bacterium. RNAcentral describes it as "tRNA-Gly". It matches the Rfam family "tRNA". From Rfam's summary of the family: Transfer RNA (tRNA) molecules are approximately 80 nucleotides in length. Lineage: Bacteria; Bacillati; Actinomycetota; Thermoleophilia; Thermoleophilales; Thermoleophilaceae. The record is from RNAcentral.
GCGGAUGUAGCUCAGUUGGUAGAGCGCAAGCUUCCCAAGCUUGAGGUCGCGGGUUCGAACCCCGUCGUCCGCU